AAACUUAUCGGCACGAUACGUGUCAGACCGUAUCGAUGUGUGUUGGUCAUAAAAAAUAUAUAUGUGCGGACAUGUAAUGACAUGAUAAAUAUGCCAAUUAUUUAUUAUGUAUUUUUAUCAAAUUUUUAAAAUUUUAUUGAAAAAUUACUUACUAAUUUAAAACAUAGAGUGCUGAAUUCUGCCAUCUGCACGGGACUGUACUGUGCCGAUAUUUUGCUGAUACGAUACGGUACGGUAGAUAUAGUCCAUGCCGAUGGGCACUUAAAUCCUUACUAUCUUGAUUAAUUAGAUGAAAGGUUAGAUAGCAUGCAUAUGCUACUGAUCAU
RNAcentral lists this long non-coding RNA (326 nucleotides) under Ananas comosus (pineapple). Its description in RNAcentral is "long non-coding RNA (ACOM_LNC007669)". Lineage: Eukaryota; Viridiplantae; Streptophyta; Magnoliopsida; Poales; Bromeliaceae. The record is from RNAcentral.